GUGUUCACUUCAGCAGCACGUACACUAAAACUGGAACAAUACAGAGAAGACUAGCCUGGCCCCUGUGUGAGGAUGACUCACAGAUUCGUGACGCACUCCAUAUAUUU
Small nuclear RNA from Otolemur garnettii (small-eared galago), 107 nucleotides. NCBI's taxonomy places the organism in Eukaryota, Metazoa, Chordata, Mammalia, Primates, Galagidae. The record is from Ensembl.